This 1121-nucleotide long non-coding RNA is filed under the name Sus scrofa (pig). RNAcentral's name for it is "lncRNA (ENSSSCG00030036868.1)". The record is from RNAcentral. Lineage: Eukaryota; Metazoa; Chordata; Mammalia; Artiodactyla; Suidae.
AUGGUAUUAAUCAAAGAAGAAGUACAUAUCAUUAACGUGAGCAAAAUCAAGACCUCGGGCCCCAGCUCUGUGGUGGGGCCUCGGCAAGCUGCAAGGGACACGGAAAGAAACAGGACGUGGGGAGAUGGUUGCACCUCUCUGUCCCCGUUUAUCCUCAUCCUUCUCUGCUUUGGACCACGGCCGGCGAGUUAGUCCACUGUGAGUACAUCACAAGCUCCCUUGCCACGGCUUCUGCUUGAGUUUGGUAAAUGGGAAGCAAGAGAUAGGAGGGUGGGGGUGGGGGGGUCAAUCCAAGUAUUUCUUCCCCCUUCCUUCCUUGCUCUGGAGUCACAUCUUUGGCAGGAAGUGGAUCCUCCCAUGGAAACAGUUCCUACUGGGUGAACUUCUUCCCCAGUGACACUGUUUUCCCCCUUGUCUCUUGCGUCCACGAGAUUCUAGCAUCUGCUGCUCAUCUCUGGGUUCCUGGCUUCAUUUGAUCCCAUGGCCCUGCCUACCCCUCUAAAAUCUCACUCUUGAUCAGGUCUCUUCUUUCUGUGGAGAUACUGCCCUGAUACAUUCAUAUCAUGUUCUUCCAUUUUUCUUUUCUUUUUUUUGUUUGUCUUUUGUCUUUUUAGGGCUGGACUCAUGGCAUAUGGAGAUUCCCAGGCCAGGGGUGGGAUGGGAGCUGUAGCUGCCGACCUGUGCCAGAGCUAUAGCAACGGGAGAUCUGAGCUGUGUCUGCAACCUACACCACAGCUCAUGGCAACUCUGGAUCCUUAACCCACUGAGUGAGGCCACAGAUUGAUCCCACAUCCUUAUGGAUGCUAGUCGGGUUUGUUAACUGAGCCAUGAUGGCAAUGCCCAUUUUUAUUUUCUAUUAAUUGGGAAUGAAGUUCUAAGAAAAGUUACUCAGUGUGUUUUUGUAUUUUCUACCUUUUCGGGAGAUUUAUUUAAAGCCUUAUAUGGUACAGGUACCAGUCAUUCAGAACAGAGGCUGACUUGUGUGUUGUUCCAGUACAUUCUGGGUAAUUAUUUGCCAUUUUUGGUACAAUGAAAUCUAAUUCCAGGAUAUUAGAAUUGAAAGGAAAGAAGUGAAAGAUAAGUGAUGAGAUCUAAAAUAAAAUGCAUUAGCUGAUUCUGCA